CGGUCAACAGCGGAAGUCCUCAGCUCAGCUAGAGACAGUAUUCCAGCUGCAGUCUGUUACCAGUGUUCUUCAGUCCCUCCUUUUCUCUGUGCCAGCACAGACAGACGGAGCUAAGUGACAAGGGUCUGCGCCACCCCAGGUCGCAGUCACUCGUGCUCUCACUGCCCGUGCAGAUGGGGAUGCGAGGCAAGAGAGCUCCUGCAGAGGGAAUCAUUCAGGAGUCGUGUAUUGCUGGAUUGACAGCAGCUCCAAAACUGAGCGGAAGCAAGUGAGAACCAUAGCAGGAAUUCGACAAAACUAGAAAGCGACAGGACUUGAAUCUGGGAUGUUCUCCACAGGCUCAGGCUCCAACUUGUGCUGUUUCCUGG
This 368-nucleotide long non-coding RNA is filed under the name Mus spicilegus (steppe mouse). RNAcentral describes it as "lncRNA (ENSMSIG00000000589.1)". Lineage: Eukaryota; Metazoa; Chordata; Mammalia; Rodentia; Muridae. The record is from RNAcentral.